GACGAACGCUGGCGGCGCGCCUAACACAUGCAAGUCGAACGAGCGAGAGAGAGCUUGCUUUCUUGAGCGAGUGGCGAACGGGUGAGUAACGCGUGAGGAACCUGCCUCAAAGAGGGGGACAACAGUUGGAAACGACUGCUAAUACCGCAUAAGCCCACGGUGCCGCAUGGCACAGAGGGAAAAGGAGCAAUCCGCUUUGAGAUGGCCUCGCGUCCGAUUAGCUAGUUGGUGAGGUAACGGCCCACCAAGGCGACGAUUGGUAGCCGGACUGAGAGGUUGAACGGCCACAUUGGGACUGAGACACGGCCCAGACUCCUACGGGAGGCAGCAGUGGGGAAUAUUGCACAAUGGGGGAAACCCUGAUGCAGCGACGCCGCGUGGAGGAAGAAGGUCUUCGGAUUGGAAACUCCUGUUGUUGGGGAAGAUAAUGACGGUACCCAACAAGGAAGUGACGGCUAACUACGUG
RNAcentral lists this ribosomal RNA (466 nucleotides) under uncultured bacterium. Its description in RNAcentral is "partial 16S ribosomal RNA". It matches the Rfam family "Bacterial small subunit ribosomal RNA", at positions 28 to 507 of the family's 1533-position model. The record is from RNAcentral.